This 1039-nucleotide long non-coding RNA is filed under the name Mus spicilegus (steppe mouse). Its description in RNAcentral is "lncRNA (ENSMSIG00000008964.1)". The record is from RNAcentral. Lineage: Eukaryota; Metazoa; Chordata; Mammalia; Rodentia; Muridae.
GACAAGGGCCAUUCUGAGAGCAACAGUUCUCCUUUCGAAGUUUGUUCUUACCUUUUUCUUGGUGAAGUUGAGGGUAUAGGAGAAGUCUCACUGGGAGAGGCCUGCCACCUGCCUUCCCGCUCCCUUCCUCCUCUGUCAGCAGGACUCUGAAUUUAUCUGGGGCCUAAGGGUUCAUAGUAGACCCUGCAGAAGAGUGCUGGGUAUGACAUCUGCACAUAUCUCUAAUACCCUCCUGUGCACUAGCAUUGAUCUGCUCGAUACCGUCUCUACUAGACUGAGUGAGAAUGAGUUGUUCUCAGUGUAGGCUUGGUGCUGAGAGAUACUCAGCUAUCUUCUAGCCUGGUGUCACCUCUGAGCAGAACCUGACCUGUGCGGAUGAGACCGGUGGGUGUGCACUGAGGACACCCUGGGGAGCUGGUUAUGGGACACGUUUGAGCUCUGAUGUGUGCAGGUGGGAAUGCACUUCACAAAGCAUCCAGGAACACAUUGUCACCUCAGACCUUGUUUUCUUCUCAUCUGUGACACCAGACUUCAGCGGCUCAUCGUCCUGGCUUAAGCACUGAGAAUGAGAGCCUGAACGGUCAGACUUUGAAGUCACGCAUGGUGGCAUUCCUUGUCACCAGGUGCAGCAGGAGAGUGCCCACACACAAGAUUGCCACCUCUCCAAUCAGCUCCCCUCCACACUGUCUCAAUGCCCAUUUUCCAAAGGCACCUGGGUCCAGUCUGAGAGGCGUUCUGGAUGGGGCUUCCUAACCUCAGUGCAUCAGAGAGAAUAAGCUUCAUUCCUGCUCCCUUCAAUCCUGUGACCCCAAGAAUACAUCAGGCAGACCUGUCCAGUGAUGUUAGAUCAUAUGUGAAGCUCUGCACUGGGUCAGUAUGACUCAGCCCUUAUCCGGUCACUGCCUCACUCUCCCUUCGCUUUCCCUCCUGCUUUGACCGAGGCUGGGACUUUGCUGCAGUGGAGUGAGGCCCUUCUCUCUAGUGGGUUCUGAACUGGAGUCACACAGCUGGCUAGUAAAUCGAAUUUGAUAAAUAAACA